RNAcentral lists this ribosomal RNA (532 nucleotides) under Microbacteriaceae bacterium BACL28 MAG-120531-bin53. RNAcentral describes it as "bacterial SSU rRNA". It matches the Rfam family "Bacterial small subunit ribosomal RNA", at positions 1 to 542 of the family's 1533-position model. Lineage: Bacteria; Bacillati; Actinomycetota; Actinomycetes; Micrococcales; Microbacteriaceae. The record is from RNAcentral.
UUUUUACGGAGAGUUUGAUCCUGGCUCAGGACGAACGCUGGCGGCGUGCUUAACACAUGCAAGUCGAACGAUGAAGCUGGAGCUUGCUCCGGCGGAUUAGUGGCGAACGGGUGAGUAACACGUGAGCAAUCUGCCCUUGACUCUGGGAUAACUGCGGGAAACUGUAGCUAAUACCGGAUACUUUCCUCGGUGGGCAUCCACUGAGGAAGAAAGAAUUUCGGUCAAGGAUGAGCUCGCGACCUAUCAGCUAGUUGGUGAGGUAAAGGCUCACCAAGGCGACGACGGGUAGCCGGCCUGAGAGGGUGACCGGCCACACUGGGACUGAGACACGGCCCAGACUCCUACGGGAGGCAGCAGUGGGGAAUAUUGCACAAUGGACGAAAGUCUGAUGCAGCAACGCCGCGUGAGGGACGAAGGCCUUCGGGUUGUAAACCUCUUUUAGCAGGGAAGAAGCGAAAGUGACGGUACCUGCAGAAAAAGCACCGGCUAACUACGUGCCAGCAGCCGCGGUAAUACGUAGGGUGCAAGCGUU